CGGGGUGUGGCUCAGAUUGGUAGAGCGCUUGGUUCGGGACCAAGAGGCCGCUGGUUCAAAUCCAGUCACUCCGACCA
This 77-nucleotide transfer RNA is filed under the name Clostridiales bacterium. Its description in RNAcentral is "tRNA-Pro". It matches the Rfam family "tRNA". From Rfam's summary of the family: Transfer RNA (tRNA) molecules are approximately 80 nucleotides in length. Their secondary structure includes four short double-helical elements and three loops (D, anti-codon, and T loops). Further hydrogen bonds mediate the characteristic L-shaped molecular structure. tRNAs have two regions of fundamental functional importance: the anti-codon, which is responsible for specific mRNA codon recognition, and the 3' end, to which the tRNAs corresponding amino acid is attached (by aminoacyl-tRNA synthetases). tRNAs cope with the degeneracy of the genetic code in two manners: having more than one tRNA (with a specific anti-codon) for a particular amino acid; and 'wobble' base-pairing, i.e. permitting non-standard base-pairing at the 3rd anti-codon position. Lineage: Bacteria; Bacillati; Bacillota; Clostridia; Eubacteriales. RNAcentral also lists the same sequence under 1 other name. The record is from RNAcentral.